RNAcentral lists this ribosomal RNA (318 nucleotides) under uncultured bacterium. Its description in RNAcentral is "bacterial SSU rRNA". It matches the Rfam family "Bacterial small subunit ribosomal RNA", at positions 197 to 507 of the family's 1533-position model. The record is from RNAcentral.
GUACCGCAAGGCCUUGCGUCGACUGGAGCGGCCGAUGCCGGAUUAGGCUAGUUGGUGAGGUAAAGGCUCACCAAGGCGACGAUCCGUAGCUGGCCUGAGAGGACGACCCAGCCACACUGGGACUGAGACACGGCCCAGACUCCUACGGGAGGCGAGCAGUGGGGAAUCUUGGACAAUGGGCGAAAGCCUGAUCCAGCAAUGCCGCGUGUGGAAGAAGGCCUUCGGGUUGUAAACCACUUUUGGCGGGAAGGAAAUGGUCUGUGCUAAUACCACGGAUUGAUGACGGUACCCGCAGAAUAAGCACCGGCUAACUACGUG